This 465-nucleotide ribosomal RNA is filed under the name uncultured bacterium. Its description in RNAcentral is "bacterial SSU rRNA". It matches the Rfam family "Bacterial small subunit ribosomal RNA", at positions 338 to 795 of the family's 1533-position model. The record is from RNAcentral.
CCUACGGGUCGCACCAGUAGGGAAUCUUCGGCAAUGGACGAAAGUCUGACCGAGCAACGCCGCGUGAGUGAAGAAGGUUUUCGGAUCGUAAAACUCUGUUGUUAAAGAAGAACAAGGACGUUAGUAACUGAACGUCCCCUGACGGUAUCUAACCAGGAAGCCACGGCUAACUACGUGCCAGCAGCCGCGGUAAUACGUAGGUGGCAAGCGUUGUCCGGAUUUAUUGGGCGUAAAGCGAGCGCAGGCGGUUUCUUAAGUCUGAUGUGAAAGCCCCCGGCUCAACCGGGGAGGGUCAUUGGAAACUGGGAGACUUGAGUACAGAAGAGGAGAGUGGAAUUCCAUGUGUAGCGGUGAAAUGCGUAGAUAUAUGGAGGAACGCCAGUGGCGAAGGCGGCUCUCUGGUCUGUAACUGACGCUGAGGAGCGAAAGCGUGGGUAGCGAACAGGAUUAGAUACCCGCGUAGUC